UGUUUUUGUUUAUGUUUAUCUUAUCUCACACGCACCUCAGUAGUUAGUUUAAGUUCCGUUUUGCAUAAGCUAAUUUUGGAACAUCUGAAAGGGUGACUUAAAAGCAGCAUUAGUGUGGUGUGAGUCAGUGCUUUCUUUUUUUUUUUUUUUUCUCUCUCUCUCUCACACAUGGGUCUCUUAUAUAAGAAGGUAUAUGUGGGUUAGGGUUUUGAGGGAGAGAACAGGAAAAGGUGUUGUUGAGAUGGGUUGGUAUUGAGGGGAAUGUUGGCUGGCUCGAGGCUUUUCACAAAGGAGGUUCACAGUGGUUGGAACUAUAAGGCUUCGGACCAGGCUUCAUUCCCCUCAAAAGUACUUGUUCAUUUGGCUUAUAUCUUUCUAAUCAUCAUCAUCAUCGUUUCAACUUCUUCAAACUUCAAACACAAAUAGGUUCUUUCUAUACACAUGUCAUGUGCGUUUGUGUGUUCUUUCCUUGCAAAGGUGAGGUUGAGAGGAAUGUUGUCUGGCUCGAGGUCAUGGAGUACUGAGAUCAGUGAAAGUUUCCAAUGGAAAUUUACCCUCUAACCCAUCUCGGACCAGGCUUCAUUCCCCCCACCCAACUUUUGCUGCUAUUUCCUUUCAAUUUCCUUUUUGCAUGCCCUCAUGGUAAGCCUUUCUCUUCCUUUUAUUUUUCUCUCAAUUUCCAUAACUAAAAAGAAUAAUGCUCUUUUACUGUUUGUUUUUGCAAGCUCAGAAUUUUCAUCUCACUGCCAAUCUUGUGUGUUUUAUAAAGGUUGUGGUUUCGUUACCUUCGUUUGUGAAUGUUAGUGAUGGCUGAAUCAAUUUGUUUACAUAUGUGGAAAGAAAAAGAAAACAAGAGAUUGAGUUUGCAUCUGUUCAGAUUAUGUAACUGUGCUCAAGUCUCCCAUGUAUAGAUUUAGUUUUCCUCACUAAUUUGAAGCAUUUGUAUGAAGAAUUAGUCCAUGCUUGAAAAUCUAUUAAUUUCAAGAAAUAAUCUUAUUUUUUAAAUAAAUGAUUUUCUUUUCAAAAUGGACUUUUUCUUUGUGUUUCUAUAUUUUCUCUCUCACACACAAAGAGAGAGAAAAUGGCAUGUACUACUAUACCACAAAGCAAAUCUGUCUAGUUUUCUGGUACAUUAUUAAUUUUAGAUUAACAUUUGAAAGAGAUAAGAUACUGUUACUGUGAAUAAUGAAUAUAUUAUUAACAAAUACGAUGGCUAAUCCCAGGCCAUAACACCUGCGGCCUGCGGGAAUGUUUAUUUCACGUGGACAAGAAAGCUGAAUGAAAGCAUCAACAGUGAAAACCUAUCAGAUGUGAAAUUCUUUAUUUUCUGCAACUAGCUGCUAUGCCUCUUAGGUCUUUCUAGCGUUUCAAACAUAUCAUCCUUCUUCUGAAGUCCUUUCAGCUUUUUUUCAAUUAACCCGUUUUCAGGCCGGUGAAAAUUAUAGGGAAUGCAACCUCACAACAAUUUACUCGGGAAACAGGCUAGCCAUCAUUUUCAUGAACAUCUGAAUGAAUGUACUUCAGUGAAAUGACAGUGAUGAGUGUUGGAAGCAUGCACUCACUAGAUGCUGAAGUUGCUGAGGCAAAUACGUGUGAAUGAGUUAAUGAAUGAAAGAAGGGAUCCAUGAGAACAUUGAGAAGAGAUAAGAGAUCAAUGUGCUGGAACAGUUAACGAGAAGAAGUGAGAAUCAGGAGAAGCUAGUUAGGGAUUCUAUGUGUCUGUCAUGUCACUCUUGCUAAGUAGCUAGAGAUCAGAUAUAUGAUAUGAUUAUGAUUUAUGACCACACCAUGCAUGCCAGCUUCCAUUAUCAUGACGACCCAGAUGUUGUAUGAAUCUAGCUGCAUGCAUAACUAAACCUGGAAAAAAGAGAAGGAGAAAAUAGAGCUUCUCUUUUCUUCUAUUCCAUUAUUACUAUUGUGUGUGUUUUAGUGUAAUGUAUUUAUGGAGCUUCUAAAGUUGUUGAAAAUGCAGAAACCAUGAAAGGAAAAGGCUUGGAUCAGCAAUAUCAGCUUCAUGCGCCUUUUCGUGCAGUCAUAGUAAUACUGAGACGAGAUCUUUUGGCUAGCAUUUGAAAUUGAAAAGCAUUUGGAGAGAGAGAAAGAGAGUAAAUUAAUGAAGAGUAUCUGAUGGUUUCUUGGGAAAUGAAACUGAGAGAAAGACACAGCUACUCGGGGAUCGCUUCAUGACAAACUUGGUCUCUUUAAAGAAGUGAAACAAUUGCACUCAUUUAUUGUUGACAGCUUCAUCAUCAAUUUAUUAUCAUUUGAGCUUCCUGCUACCUUUUCCACUGUCAGCCAGCUAUGCCAGCAAUAAAAUCUUCAAAAACAAAGUUAAACUUUCCCAAGAAUACUAAUACUAAUGAUAAACAAAUUCAA
Cajanus cajan (pigeon pea) is the source of this 2376-nucleotide long non-coding RNA. RefSeq lists it as uncharacterized. The record is from RefSeq and is a predicted model, not a curated record. Lineage: Eukaryota; Viridiplantae; Streptophyta; Magnoliopsida; Fabales; Fabaceae.